AAGUUCGAGCACCGGGGAUGUAUGUCAACGGUCACCACCAUAUAAAUGCACAAGUAAACACAGGAAAACGGUUCUUUAAAGUAUAACAGGGUUUAUUAACUCACAGAAACACCGAUCAAGAUCACCUAUAACUGCAACCAACAAUCCCCAUAACACUUAUUUUAAACCUACUCACUAAACAAGCAAUCAAAACCAGAGUGUGUGUGUGUGUGUGUGUGUGAGCACAGAGUCAGGGGGAGGCGAGGGGGGUGCAGGGAAGGAACGGCGGUGCGGUUGCGCGCAACAACAAGCGGAGUGCCGGUUAUCACACUAGGGGGCGAGCGAGAGCAGCGGGGCGGAAGUGAGACCGUUAAAUCAAACCACCGAGGAAGACGGGAACGUUAAACAGUGUAAUACGACUACUGGACGCGAGGGGCGAGCGAGAGCGAAAUGCAGGAAGUUGAGCCGCUCACUAAAGUUAAGGUAUAUCACCUCUAGUGUAUUAACAGUAAUACAAAUCAAUCAAUCAAAUGUAGGUCAAUUAUGCUUGAUAAUUUAUUAUACUUACAGAAAAAACUGCAUACAUCACAUCUUUCUACAUAUGGGUUUUCAUUUAUCUAUUUUCAAAUAAAAUCAAUCAAAUUUAGGUAAAUUAUGCUUGAUAAUUUAUUAUACGUACAGAAAAAACUGCAUAAAUCACAUGUCUCCAUUAAUGGGUUUUCAUUUUUUUAACAAAAAGGGUUGGCAGCUCAUCCUCAGAUUGCUUCUUCGUCAGGAUGGGGACCCCCUUCACAGCCCUGUAUAAAGAGG
Gasterosteus aculeatus aculeatus (three-spined stickleback) is the source of this 789-nucleotide long non-coding RNA. The record is from Ensembl. NCBI's taxonomy places the organism in Eukaryota, Metazoa, Chordata, Actinopteri, Perciformes, Gasterosteidae.